GGUUGGUCCUCCAAGUGCAGUGGUGUUUACAACUAAUUGAUCACAAUCGGUUAUAGAUUCCUUUGUUUCUUCUCCACUCUCACUGCUUCACUCGACCAGCCUUAA
This 105-nucleotide Y RNA is filed under the name Propithecus coquereli (Coquerel's sifaka). Its description in RNAcentral is "Y RNA (ENSPCOG00000002776.1)". It matches the Rfam family "Y RNA". From Rfam's summary of the family: Y RNAs are components of the Ro ribonucleoprotein particle (Ro RNP), in association with Ro60 and La proteins. Lineage: Eukaryota; Metazoa; Chordata; Mammalia; Primates; Indriidae. The record is from Rfam by way of RNAcentral.